RNAcentral lists this ribosomal RNA (253 nucleotides) under Myodopsylla trisellis. RNAcentral describes it as "partial 28S ribosomal RNA". It matches the Rfam family "Eukaryotic large subunit ribosomal RNA", at positions 685 to 915 of the family's 3401-position model. The record is from RNAcentral. Lineage: Eukaryota; Metazoa; Arthropoda; Insecta; Siphonaptera; Ischnopsyllidae.
CGCAAGUCAUUGGGAAUUACAAAACCUAAAGGCGUAAUGAAAGUGAAGGUUCGCUUAUGCGGACUGAGGGAUGAUGGUUCGAUACAAACUCGCAAUCCCGGGGCGUCUUAUUCUCAUUGAGAAGAGGCGCACCCAGAGCGUACACGCUGGGACCCGAAAGAUGGUGAACUAUGCCUGGUCAGGUCGAAGUCAGGGGAAACCCUGAUGGAGGACCGUAGCGAUUCUGACGUGCAAAUCGAUCGUCGGAACUGGG